Molecule: long non-coding RNA, 943 nt
Filed under: Manihot esculenta (cassava)
Lineage: Eukaryota; Viridiplantae; Streptophyta; Magnoliopsida; Malpighiales; Euphorbiaceae
Description: long non-coding RNA (MESC_LNC005054)
Source: RNAcentral
GCCUCUCUAAUGCAUUAUGCAAAGUUUUUAGAUAAACUUUGCUUUCACUCUACUCCCCCACAUUUCUUACUAAAAUCAAAUCCCAAAUCAAAACCCACUCUUCAUCAUUUGACUUUACACAUCUUCACCACCUCAAAAUAAACAUUAUAUAUAUUUGAUCAUAUAGCACAAGAAAAACCCAGAAAAAAGAAAUCAUUAUUUUCAUUGUCUCUCAUGGCUGCCAAGCCCAGCAUUGUCUUUGUUACCAUUUCUCUUCACUUGUUUCUCUUCCUAAUUGCCUUGUUCUCUUCUACAACCAGUGGAGCAAUAUAUAGACUUCAUACUUCAAGGCAUGUUUUUCCAUCUACUACUUUUGGUGUCCUUCCCAAAGGUUCUCCUAUUCCACCUUCUGGUCCAUCAAAGAGACACAAUGACUACGGUCCAGAUGCUCCAGAGAAGGAUGGUGGCAGUGGCGGUGGCGGUAGUGGUAGUGGUGGUGUUUCUCCAUGAGUUCUCCAAAAGGUUGCAUGCAAGACCUUAAUUAGAGAGAUUGUGAUCAUGUAUCAUCAUGUUCAUGCAAUGGUUAUAUCAGUGUGUCUAGGAAAGGAAACACAGGGUUUUGUGAUUCUAGAAUUUAAACUUCUUCUUCUUUCUUUUCUUCAUUUUUCAUUAUUUUUUUCUUAAAUAUUUUCUUCUACCUUCUGCAAUAGAUGGAUAUGUUUCAAUGACUUUCAUCACUAUGAAAAAUAAAAAUAUAACUUCCAAUAUUUCGUUGAUAAAUAAUCAAUAAUUUACUCUAACAACCAUUAUUUUAUAAUUUAAUAAGUAAAUUUAUUUUUUAUUUUUUUUCUUAUUGUAGAUGUCAAUAGAACAAUAACUAUAUCAUGACAAUGAAGAUGUGAUGUGAAUAAUGCAGAAAUUCUAGUACAAUCAUCAAGAAGAAAAGAAGAUAGAGAAGAUUGUG